Molecule: ribosomal RNA, 924 nt
Filed under: Salmonella enterica subsp. enterica
Lineage: Bacteria; Pseudomonadati; Pseudomonadota; Gammaproteobacteria; Enterobacterales; Enterobacteriaceae
Description: partial 23S ribosomal RNA
Rfam family: Bacterial large subunit ribosomal RNA
Source: RNAcentral
ACCGAGAUUCCCCCAGUAGCGGCGAGCGAACGGGGAGGAGCCCAGAGCCUGAAUCAGCAUGUGUGUUAGUGGAAGCGUCUGGAAAGGCGCGCGAUACAGGGUGACAGCCCCGUACACAAAAGCGCAUGUGCUGUGAGCUCGAUGAGUAGGGCGGGACACGUGGUAUCCUGUCUGAAUAUGGGGGGACCAUCCUCCAAGGCUAAAUACUCCUGACUGACCGAUAGUGAACCAGUACCGUGAGGGAAAGGCGAAAAGAACCCCGGCGAGGGGAGUGAAAAAGAACCUGAAACCGUGUACGUACAAGCAGUGGGAGCACAGGUUUACCUGUGUGACUGCGUACCUUUUGUAUAAUGGGUCAGCGACUUAUAUUCUGUAGCAAGGUUAACCGAAUAGGGGAGCCGGAGGGAAACCGAGUCUUAAUUGGGCGUUAAGUUGCAGGGUAUAGACCCGAAACCCGGUGAUCUAGCCAUGGGCAGGUUGAAGGUUGGGUAACACUAACUGGAGGACCGAACCGACUAAUGUUGAAAAAUUAGCGGAUGACCUGUGGCUGGGGGUGAAAGGCCAAUCAAACCGGGAGAUAGCUGGUUCUCCCCGAAAGCUAUUUAGGUAGCGCCUCGUGAAUUCAUCUCCGGGGGUAGAGCACUGUUUCGGCUAGGGGGCCAUCCCGGCUUACCAACCCGAUGCAAACUGCGAAUACCGGAGAAUGUUAUCACGGGAGACACACGGCGGGUGCUAACGUCCGUCGUGAAGAGGGAAACAACCCAGACCGCCAGCUAAGGUCCCAAAGUCAUGGUUAAGUGGGAAACGAUGUGGGAAGGCCCAGACAGCCAGGAUGUUGGCUUAGAAGCAGCCAUCAUUUAAAGAAAGCGUAAUAGCUCACUGGUCGAGUCGGCCUGCGCGGAAGAUGUAACGGGGCUAAACCAU